AGUGAACGCUGGCGGUAGGCCUAACACAUGCAAGUCGAACGGCAGCACAGUAAGAGCUUGCUCUUACGGGUGGCGAGUGGCGGACGGGUGAGGAAUACAUCGGAAUCUACUUUUUCGUGGGGGAUAACGUGGGGAAACUUACGCUAAUACCGCAUACGACCUACGGGUGAAAGCAGGGGAUCUUCGGACCUUGCGCGAUUGAAUGAGCCGAUGUCGGAUUAGCUAGUUGGCGGGGUAAAGGCCCACCAAGGCGACGAUCCGUAGCUGGUCUGAGAGGAUGAUCAGCCACACUGGAACUGAGACACGGUCCAGACUCCUACGGGAGGCAGCAGUGGGGAAUAUUGGACAAUGGGCGCAAGCCUGACCCAGCCAUACCGCGUGGGUGAAGAAGGCCUUCGGGUUGUAAAGCCCUUUUGUUGGGAAAGAAAAGCAGCAGGUUAAUACCCCGCUGUUCUGACGGUACCCAAAGAAUAAGCACCGGCUAACUUCGUG
RNAcentral lists this ribosomal RNA (492 nucleotides) under uncultured bacterium. Its description in RNAcentral is "partial 16S ribosomal RNA". It matches the Rfam family "Bacterial small subunit ribosomal RNA", at positions 29 to 507 of the family's 1533-position model. The record is from RNAcentral.